Molecule: ribosomal RNA, 1513 nt
Filed under: Vibrio parahaemolyticus
Lineage: Bacteria; Pseudomonadati; Pseudomonadota; Gammaproteobacteria; Vibrionales; Vibrionaceae
Description: bacterial SSU rRNA
Rfam family: Bacterial small subunit ribosomal RNA
Source: RNAcentral
AGAGUUUGAUCCUGGCUCAGAUUGAACGCUGGCGGCAGGCCUAACACAUGCAAGUCGAGCGGAAACGAGUUAUCUGAACCUUCGGGGAACGAUAACGGCGUCGAGCGGCGGACGGGUGAGUAAUGCCUAGGAAAUUGCCCUGAUGUGGGGGAUAACCAUUGGAAACGAUGGCUAAUACCGCAUGAUGCCUACGGGCCAAAGAGGGGGACCUUCGGGCCUCUCGCGUCAGGAUAUGCCUAGGUGGGAUUAGCUAGUUGGUGAGGUAAGGGCUCACCAAGGCGACGAUCCCUAGCUGGUCUGAGAGGAUGAUCAGCCACACUGGAACUGAGACACGGUCCAGACUCCUACGGGAGGCAGCAGUGGGGAAUAUUGCACAAUGGGCGCAAGCCUGAUGCAGCCAUGCCGCGUGUGUGAAGAAGGCCUUCGGGUUGUAAAGCACUUUCAGUCGUGAGGAAGGUAGUGUAGUUAAUAGCUGCAUUAUUUGACGUUAGCGACAGAAGAAGCACCGGCUAACUCCGUGCCAGCAGCCGCGGUAAUACGGAGGGUGCGAGCGUUAAUCGGAAUUACUGGGCGUAAAGCGCAUGCAGGUGGUUUGUUAAGUCAGAUGUGAAAGCCCGGGGCUCAACCUCGGAAUUGCAUUUGAAACUGGCGGACUAGAGUACUGUAGAGGGGGGUAGAAUUUCAGGUGUAGCGGUGAAAUGCGUAGAGAUCUGAAGGAAUACCGGUGGCGAAGGCGGCCCCCUGGACAGAUACUGACACUCAGAUGCGAAAGCGUGGGGAGCAAACAGGAUUAGAUACCCUGGUAGUCCACGCCGUAAACGAUGUCUACUUGGAGGUUGUGGCCUUGAGCCGUGGCUUUCGGAGCUAACGCGUUAAGUAGACCGCCUGGGGAGUACGGUCGCAAGAUUAAAACUCAAAUGAAUUGACGGGGGCCCGCACAAGCGGUGAGCAUGUGGUUUAAUUCGAUGCAACGCGAAGAACCUUACCUACUCUUGACAUCCAGAGAACUUUCCAGAGAUGGAUUGGUGCCUUCGGGAACUCUGAGACAGGUGCUGCAUGGCUGUCGUCAGCUCGUGUUGUGAAAUGUUGGGUUAAGUCCCGCAACGAGCGCAACCCUUAUCCUUGUUUGCCAGCGAGUAAUGUCGGGAACUCCAGGGAGACUGCCGGUGAUAAACCGGAGGAAGGUGGGGACGACGUCAAGUCAUCAUGGCCCUUACGAGUAGGGCUACACACGUGCUACAAUGGCGCAUACAGAGGGCAGCCAACUUGCGAAAGUGAGCGAAUCCCAAAAAGUGCGUCGUAGUCCGGAUUGGAGUCUGCAACUCGACUCCAUGAAGUCGGAAUCGCUAGUAAUCGUGGAUCAGAAUGCCACGGUGAAUACGUUCCCGGGCCUUGUACACACCGCCCGUCACACCAUGGGAGUGGGCUGCAAAAGAAGUAGGUAGUUUAACCUUCGGGGGGACGCUUACCACUUUGUGGUUCAUGACUGGGGUGAAGUCGUAACAAGGUAACC